CAGUAGCCGCGGUAAUACCAGCAGCCCAAGUGGUGGUCGCGAUUAUUGGGCCUAAAGCGCUCGUAGCCGGGCCGGUAAGUCCCUUGUGAAAUCGGACGGCCUAGCCGUUCGGCGUGCAAGGGAUACUGUCGGUCUUGAGGCCGGGAGACGUCCGAGGUACUCCGGGGGUAGCGGUGAAAUGUUCUAAUCCUCGGGGGACCACCGGUGGCGAAGGCGUUCGGCGAGAACGGGCCUGACGGUGAGGGGCGAAGGCUAGGGGAGCGAACAGGAUUAGAUACCCCAGUAGUCCCUGUCUCUUAUA
RNAcentral lists this ribosomal RNA (301 nucleotides) under uncultured bacterium. Its description in RNAcentral is "partial 16S ribosomal RNA". It matches the Rfam family "Archaeal small subunit ribosomal RNA", at positions 459 to 759 of the family's 1478-position model. The record is from RNAcentral.